CCUACGGGAGGCUGCAGUGGGGAAUAUUGGGCAAUGGGCGCAAGCCUGACCCAGCAACGCCGCGUGAAGGAAGAAGGCUUUCGGGUUGGAAACUUCUUUUUACAGAGAAGAGUAGAAGACGGUACCUGCCGAAUAAGCCACGGCUAACUACGUGCCAGCAGCCGCGGUAAUACGUAGGUGGCAAGCGUUGUCCGGAUUUACUGGGUGUAAAGGGCGUGUAGCGGGGUUGAUAAGUCAGAUGUGAAAUCCUGCGGCUUAACCGUAGAAUUGCAUUUGAAACUGUUGAUCUUGAGUACUGGAGAGGCAGACGGAAUUCCUAGUGUAGCGGUGAAAUGCGUAGAUAUUAGGAGGAACACCAGUGGCGAAGGCGGUCUGCUGGACAGCCACUGACGGUGAGGCGCGAAAGCGUGGGGAGCAAACAGGAUUAGAUACCCCUGUAGUC
RNAcentral lists this ribosomal RNA (442 nucleotides) under uncultured bacterium. RNAcentral's name for it is "partial 16S ribosomal RNA". It matches the Rfam family "Bacterial small subunit ribosomal RNA", at positions 338 to 795 of the family's 1533-position model. The record is from RNAcentral.